This 253-nucleotide ribosomal RNA is filed under the name uncultured bacterium. RNAcentral describes it as "partial 16S ribosomal RNA". It matches the Rfam family "Bacterial small subunit ribosomal RNA", at positions 524 to 776 of the family's 1533-position model. The record is from RNAcentral.
UACGUAGGGGGCAAGCGUUGUCCGGAUUUAUUGGGCGUAAAGAGCGUGUAGGCGGCCAGGUAGGUCUGCUGUGAAAACUCGAGGCUCAACCUCGAGAUGUCGGCGGAAACCAUCUGGCUAGAGUCCGGAAGAGGAGAAUGGAAUUCACGGUGUAGCAGUGAAAUGCGUAGAUAUCGUGAGGAAGACCAGUGGCGAAGGCGGAUCUCUGGACAGCUCCUGACGCUGAGGCGCGAAGGCUAGGGGAGCAAACGGG